Molecule: long non-coding RNA, 346 nt
Organism: Bombus huntii
Lineage: Eukaryota; Metazoa; Arthropoda; Insecta; Hymenoptera; Apidae
Exons: 2
Source: RefSeq, a predicted model, not a curated record
UAUGCUAAAAUAUGAUUUUCGCCUUUUAAACAUAAUUUUACAUACAGACAUUGAUUAUUAUUCGACCGAGAAGAAAAUAAACUCGUUAUGAUUGUACCUGCGACUAUUUUCAUUAAUGGAAAUUGUCCGAAAGCAUCUAAUGCUGGCAUGAUCGCUGUAACGUCUGCUCAAAAAUUUCGCCAAUUCUUCACGACACUCCCAUAAGUCUGCUGUGAUGCCAUAUUGAAACAGAUAAUACUUUCCUUCUUUCUUUUCUUCUUUCUACAACGAAAUAUAUUUUAACGUAUAUUAACAAUAAAAUAUUUGUAUAUUAACAAUAAAAUGUAUUAAAACGUGUAAUGUAGUA